GAAAGGCUUCGGCCGGACAGGGAUGGGCAUGCGGCGCAUUAGGCAGUAGGCGGGGUAACGGCCCACCUAACCGACGAUGCGUAGGGGUUCUGAGAGGAAGGUCCCCCACACUGGUACUGAGACACGGACCAGACUCCUACGGGAGGCAGCAGUGAGGAAUAUUGGUCAAUGGUCGGGAGACUGAACCAGCCAAGCCGCGUGAGGGAUGAAGGUACAGAGUAUCGUAAACCUCUUUUGUCAGGGAACAAAGGCGGGGACGUGUCCCCGGAUGAGUGUACCUGAAGAAAAAGCAUCGGCUAACUCCGUGCCAGCAGCCGCGGUAAUACGGAGGAUGCGAGCGUUAUCCGGAUUUAUUGGGUUUAAAGGGUGCGCAGGCGGUCUGUUAAGUCAGCGGUCAAAGCCCGGGGCUCAACCCCGGCCCGCCGUUGAAACUGGCAGUCUCGAGUUGGAGAGAAGUAUGCGGAAUGCGCGGUGUAGCGGUGAAAUGCAUAGAUAUCGCGCAGAACUCCGAUUGCGAAGGCAGCAUGCCGGCUCCACACUGACGCUGAGGCGCGAAAGCGUGGGUAUCGAACAGGAUUAGAUACCCUGGUAGUCCACGCAGUAAACG
This 607-nucleotide ribosomal RNA is filed under the name uncultured bacterium. RNAcentral describes it as "bacterial SSU rRNA". It matches the Rfam family "Bacterial small subunit ribosomal RNA", at positions 202 to 808 of the family's 1533-position model. The record is from RNAcentral.